Molecule: ribosomal RNA, 459 nt
Filed under: uncultured bacterium
Lineage: Bacteria
Description: partial 16S ribosomal RNA
Rfam family: Bacterial small subunit ribosomal RNA
Source: RNAcentral
CCUACGGGAGGCAGCAGUGAGGAAUAUUGGUCAAUGGUCGGGAGACUGAACCAGCCAAGCCGCGUGAGGGAGGAAGGUACAGAGUAUCGUAAACCUCUUUUGUCAGGGAACAAAGACUGGGACGCGUCCCCGGAUGAGUGUACCUGAAGAAAAAGCAUCGGCUAACUCCGUGCCAGCAGCCGCGGUAAUACGGGGGAUGCGAACGUUAUCCGGAUUUAUUGGGUUUAAGGGGUGCGCAGGCGGUCUGUUAAGUCGGCGGUAAAAGCCCGGGGUUCAACCCCGGCCCGCCGUUGAAACUGGCAGUCUCGAGUAGGAGAGAAGUAUGCGGAAUGCGCGGUGUAGCGGUGAAAUGCAUAGAUAUCGCGCAGAACUCCGAUUGCGAAGGCAGCAUGCCGGCUCCACACUGACGCUGAGGCACGAAAGCGUGGGUAUCGAACAGGAUUAGAUACCCUAGUAGUC